RNAcentral lists this ribosomal RNA (454 nucleotides) under uncultured bacterium. RNAcentral describes it as "bacterial SSU rRNA". It matches the Rfam family "Bacterial small subunit ribosomal RNA", at positions 29 to 523 of the family's 1533-position model. The record is from RNAcentral.
AACGAACGCUGGCGGCAUGCCUAACACAUGCAAGUCGAACGAAGCCUUCGGGCUUAGUGGCGCACGGGUGCGUAACGCGUGGGAAUCUGCCCUUAGGUACGGAAUAACUCAGGGAAACUUGUGCUAAUACCGUAUGAUGUCGAGAGACCAAAGAUUUAUCGCCUAGGGAUGAGCCCGCGUAGGAUUAGCUAGUUGGUGGGUAAAGGCCUACCAAGGCGACGAUCCUUAGCUGGUCUGAGAGGAUGAUCAGCCACACUGGGACUGAGACACGGCCCAGACUCCUACGGGAGGCAGCAGUGGGGAAUAUUGGACAAUGGGGGCAACCCUGAUCCAGCCAUGCCGCGUGAGUGAUGAAGGCCUUCGGUUGUUAAAGGCUCUUUUGGUCGGGGACGGAGUGAUGACGGUACCCGCAGAAUAAGACCCCGGCCUAACUUCGUGCCAGCAGCCGCGGUAA